GGGCUUGUGGUCUAGUGGUAUGAUUUUCCCUUAGCAUCGCUUGAAUCCCAUCAAGCUCUAGCCUGGGAAAGGUCCUGGGUUCAAUUCCCAGCAAGUCCA
RNAcentral lists this transfer RNA (99 nucleotides) under Corynespora cassiicola Philippines. Its description in RNAcentral is "tRNA-Ala". It matches the Rfam family "tRNA". Rfam says of the family: Transfer RNA (tRNA) molecules are approximately 80 nucleotides in length. Their secondary structure includes four short double-helical elements and three loops (D, anti-codon, and T loops). Further hydrogen bonds mediate the characteristic L-shaped molecular structure. tRNAs have two regions of fundamental functional importance: the anti-codon, which is responsible for specific mRNA codon recognition, and the 3' end, to which the tRNAs corresponding amino acid is attached (by aminoacyl-tRNA synthetases). tRNAs cope with the degeneracy of the genetic code in two manners: having more than one tRNA (with a specific anti-codon) for a particular amino acid; and 'wobble' base-pairing, i.e. permitting non-standard base-pairing at the 3rd anti-codon position. Lineage: Eukaryota; Fungi; Ascomycota; Dothideomycetes; Pleosporales; Corynesporascaceae. The record is from RNAcentral.